ACUGAUACAAAACAAGCUACAGAGAGUGCCUGAUCCUGUCUGAUCUCGGAAGCUAAGCACAGUCAUUCCUGGUCAGUACUUUGAUCAGAAACCACCUGGGAAGUCCAGCGGGCUGUGUCAGGA
This 123-nucleotide ribosomal RNA is filed under the name Mastacembelus armatus (zig-zag eel). Lineage: Eukaryota; Metazoa; Chordata; Actinopteri; Synbranchiformes; Mastacembelidae. The record is from RNAcentral.